UAUGUGAUCGUCUCUCGCAUAUCAAUAAGCGGAGGAAAAGAAGCUAACAAGGAUUCCCCUAGUAACGGCGAGUGAAGCGGGAAGAGCUCAAAUUUGAAAUCUUAAAGGGUUUCCCUUUACGAAUUGUAGUUUAAAGAAGUGUUUUCUGUUGAGGUUUUGGUAAAAGUUCUUUGGAAUAGGACAUCAUAGAGGGUGAGAAUCCCGUAUUUGACCUUUACUUUCAACUUUGUGAUACACUUUCAAAGAGUCGGAUUGUUUGGGAAUGCAGUCCAAAAUGGGUGGUAAAUUUCAUCUAAAGCUAAAUAUUGGCGAGAGACCGAUAGCGAACAAGUACCGUGAGGGAAAGAUGAAAAGGAACUUUGAAAAGAGAGUUAAACAGUACGUGAAAUUGUCAAAAGGGAAGCGUUUGACACCAGUGUUGUUUUUCUGAAAAUCAAUUAAAGAACUGUUUAUGCUAAGUUGUUUAGACUUUAUCAGCUAACUGUUUAGUUUUGAGCUUUUCUUUAAUGCACUUUUCAGUCAACAAGUCAACAUCAAUUUCUUUUGCUGUAAAAAAGCUUGAGGAAGGUGGCUUGAGAUUCGUCUUAAGUGUUUAUAGCCUCUUGCCUAUGCAGUCGGAGAGAUUGAGGUCUGCAGCGUAGAUCCUUCGGGGCUAAAUGCAUUUGUGCUAAGUUAUAGCAUUUUAUAGACAACUUGUUGACUAUGAUUUGUCUUGUAGCUUACUCGCUUAUGUUAUUUUACCUACGCUUAGGAUGUUGACUGAUAUGUAGUCGUA
Molecule: ribosomal RNA, 775 nt
Filed under: uncultured Neocallimastigales
Lineage: Eukaryota; Fungi; Neocallimastigomycota; Neocallimastigomycetes; Neocallimastigales
Description: partial large subunit ribosomal RNA
Rfam family: Eukaryotic large subunit ribosomal RNA
Source: RNAcentral